Molecule: non-coding RNA, 460 nt
Organism: Caretta caretta (loggerhead turtle)
Lineage: Eukaryota; Metazoa; Chordata; Testudines; Cheloniidae
Source: RefSeq, a predicted model, not a curated record
UUAGAACCAGAAAUAAAUGAAGGAAAACCUGUGAGUCCAGGACUUCUGAAAGAUGACCUGUCUGGGCAGGAAUCAGGAUCUGGAUCCCAGCUUCAGGCAAAAACAGAGGGACACAAGGACACCAGCUCAGAGAGCAACCUCGCUGAGUCAGAGAGAGGUGAUGACCUGCAGUUGCGGGAUAACUCCUCCUGGGUGAUUCUACCCCCCAGUGCAGAACUGAACCAAGACAAAGCACAUCCACUGAGUUCAGGACGGGAAUUGGGACCUGGAUCACAGCUGCAGUGCCAUGUAGCUGGAGUAACAGAUGAGGUGGGAGUUUUAUUUAACUCAGUCAAGAUCAGUUGAGCAUAGUUAUUCCAAUAAUUAGCAGGCAUGCCAGUUUGGCUGGUGGCACAGGGUGGUGCCGCAGAGCAAGAUCCCAAUUCAAGUCUGGCCAGCAAACUUUUGUAGUUUGGACCAA